GGUCGUUCCAUUCAGCAGAUGCACGUGGAAAGGAGGAGGCAGAAAAUGUCGUGGUGCGGCUGCGUGGUCUGGUGACUUGCAAGGCAUGACCGGGAGGACUGGCAAGCCGAAAAGCAAAAUGAAAGGCUGGCAAUCUUGCGAUGCUGCACUGAAGCUCCCACAUCAGACAACCUUGGAGCGAAGGAUUUUGACAGUUCUCAUAUAACCGCGCCAAGAAUGAUGACAAAAAGAUUUCUCAUGAACAGAAGUGGACCACAAUGCAUUAUAAAUGAUGCAACAAAUAAACUUAG
Rhipicephalus sanguineus (brown dog tick) is the source of this 290-nucleotide long non-coding RNA. RefSeq lists it as uncharacterized. Lineage: Eukaryota; Metazoa; Arthropoda; Arachnida; Ixodida; Ixodidae. The record is from RefSeq and is a predicted model, not a curated record. The transcript has 2 exons.